Long non-coding RNA from Diachasmimorpha longicaudata, 939 nucleotides. RefSeq lists it as uncharacterized. The record is from RefSeq and is a predicted model, not a curated record. NCBI's taxonomy places the organism in Eukaryota, Metazoa, Arthropoda, Insecta, Hymenoptera, Braconidae. The transcript is spliced from 3 exons.
UACGUCUUGAGAGCUGAACUCCUCCUAGCUCCCUCGUUAACCACCCUGAUUGGACGACAACUGCCGUUCACAGGACCCUUUCCAUAACCUGGAUUAUCUCUUCUUUCUCAGGAUCGAGAACUAACCAACCGGGGAUUCCUGUAAGCGUGCUUCAUUCAGCUAGCUUUCUCUGUCCUCUCCUCAGGGCUCAAGGAAGCAGCUAGGCUGCUCUCUAGUUAUAUCCCUUCUUCAUCGGGUUAAGAGAUCAGAUCAGUUGAACUCUGCGAGGCCCGCGUGCGACAAUGAUGGACCGCCUCGCCCAUGGAAAGCUAAGCAACCCUGAGUAGUGGUCACUAGAAGGAUGGGAGAGCGCGAGAACACCUCUGGAACAAAUUUCAUUUUUUCGAAAAAAAAGGGGCUGGAAAGUUGGAAGGUUCAAUGUGCAAGAGUGAAAUUGAAUACAAGCCUGUACGAAUCACCACUCGGGUAUUGACACUAUCUCAUAUACGCUACUGAAGCCCAAGUACCCACUCUAGUUAUGGAGGAGGCUAAUGGAAGGAGUCACGCGGUUCCAUUGUCAGAGGAACAAUAAUCAGUGAAAUACGUCCAAAUGGACCACCAUAACAUAUAAACCGUUGAUUUUUUCGGUGAAUUUUGAAAAUUUCUAAUAGAAAAUCUCCGAGAAGAGAAUAGAAAUUAUUUUUUAAAAUUAAACAUACACAUGAUAAAUUCAAUAUAAUAUAAGAUAUAUAACACAUUUUGAUAUGCAUCCCUUAGCUAUACGCCCAUAAAAGACGUAUUAUCUCAAAACUCAAAAGAAACAUUUUUCUAAGCUUGCAAAGCCUUAAAAUAUAAAAGAAUCAAACGUAUAUUAUUAUUAUAAAAUAUAUAUUAUCAAUACAAUUAUAGUCUAUAUUUAUCUAUGUAUAAAAAUGUAAAUAUUAAUAAACAUAAAAAAGA